Molecule: ribosomal RNA, 497 nt
Filed under: uncultured bacterium
Lineage: Bacteria
Description: partial 16S ribosomal RNA
Rfam family: Bacterial small subunit ribosomal RNA
Source: RNAcentral
GACGAACGCUGGCGGCGUGCCUAAUACAUGCAAGUAGAACGCUGAAGAGAGGAGCUUGCUCUUCUUGGAUGAGUCGCGAACGGGUGAGUAACGCGUAGGUAACCUGCCUUGUAGCGGGGGAUAACUAUUGGAAACGAUAGCUAAUACCGCAUAACAAUGGAUGACACAUGUCAUUUAUUUGAAAGGGGCAAUUGCUCCACUACAAGAUGGACCUGCGUUGUAUUAGCUAGUAGGUGAGGUAAUGGCUCACCUAGGCGACGAUACAUAGCCGACCUGAGAGGGUGGUCGGCCACACUGGGACUGAGACACGGCCCAGACUCCUACGGGAGGCAGCAGUAGGGAAUCUUCGGCAAUGGGGGCAACCCUGACCGAGCAACGCCGCGUGAGUGAAGAAGGGUUUCGGAUCGUAAAGCUCUGUUGUAAGUCAAGAACGAGUGUGAGAGUGGAAAGUUCACACUGUGACGGUAGCUUACCAGAAAGGGACGGCUAACUACGUG